GGGUUGCGGACAGUGUCUGGUGGGUAGUUUGACUGGGGCGGUCUCCUCCUAAAGAGUAACGGAGGAGCACGAAGGUUGGCUAAUCCUGGUCGGACAUCAGGAGGUUAGUGCAAUGGCAUAAGCCAGCUUGACUGCGAGCGUGACGGCGCGAGCAGGUGCGAAAGCAGGUCAUAGUGAUCCGGUGGUUCUGAAUGGAAGGGCCAUCGCUCAACGGAUAAAAGGUACUCCGGGGAUAACAGGCUGAUACCGCCCAAGAGUUCAUAUCGACGGCGGUGUUUGGCACCUCGAUGUCGGCUCAUCACAUCCUGGGGCUGAAGUAGGUCCCAAGGGUAUGGCUGUUCGCCAUUUAAAGUGGUACGCGAGCUGGGUUUAGAACGUCGUGAGACAGUUCGGUCCCUAUCUGCCGUGGGCGCUGGAGAACUGAGGGGGGCUGCUCCUAGUACGAGAGGACCGGAGUGGACGCAUCACUGGUGUUCGGGUUGUCAUGCCAAUGGCACUGCCCGGUAGCUAAAUGCGGAAGAGAUAAGUGCUGAAAGCAUCUAAGCACGAAACUUGCCCCGAGAUGAGUUCUCCCUGACCCUUUAAGGGUCCUGAAGGAACGUUGAAGACGACGACGUUGAUAGGCCGGGUGUGUAAGCGCAGCGAUGCGUUGAGCUAACCGGUACUAAUGAACCGUGAGGCUUAACCUU
RNAcentral lists this ribosomal RNA (689 nucleotides) under Escherichia coli. RNAcentral describes it as "partial 23S ribosomal RNA". It matches the Rfam family "Bacterial large subunit ribosomal RNA", at positions 2242 to 2925 of the family's 2925-position model. RNAcentral also lists the same sequence under 2 other names. Lineage: Bacteria; Pseudomonadati; Pseudomonadota; Gammaproteobacteria; Enterobacterales; Enterobacteriaceae. The record is from RNAcentral.